Molecule: ribosomal RNA, 613 nt
Filed under: uncultured bacterium
Lineage: Bacteria
Description: bacterial SSU rRNA
Rfam family: Bacterial small subunit ribosomal RNA
Source: RNAcentral
CCUACGGGAGGCAGCAGUAGGGAAUAUUGGACAAUGGGCGAAAGCCUGAUCCAGCAAUGCCGCGUGAGUGAUGAAGGCGUUUUGCGUCGUAAAACUCUUUUGUGGGGGAAGAUAAUGACGGUACCCCAAGAAUAAGGACUGACUAACUACGUGCCAGCAGUCGCGGUAAUACGUAGAGUCCAAGCGUUACUCGGAAUUACUGGGCGUAAAGCAUGCGUAGGUGGCUUAGUAAGUUAAUAGUGAAAUACCAGGGCUCAACUUUGGUGCUGCUAUUAAUACUGCUUCGCUAGAGUUUGGUAGAGAGAAGUGGAAUUCCUGGUGUAGGGGUAAAAUCUGUAGAUAUCAGGAGGAAUGCCGGAGGCGAAAGCGGCUUCUUGGGCCAACACUGACACUGAGGCAUGAAAGCGUGGGGAGCAAACAGGAUUAGAUACCCUGGUAGUCCACGCCGUAAACGAUGAGUGCUACCUGUCGGGGUUUAUCUUCGGUGGGCAAAGCUAACGCGUUAAGCACUCCGCCUCGGUAGUACGGUCGCGAGACGUAGAAACGUUAAAUAGUAAGUUAGUACGGUCGUGUAGUUACGUUGUCCGACGGACGACCGACGAGGGGAGGAGGG